GGGUCCUUAGCUCAUUUUGGUAGAGCGCCUGCUUUGCACGCAGGAGGUGAGGGGUUCGAUCCCCCUAGGAUCCA
RNAcentral lists this transfer RNA (74 nucleotides) under Patescibacteria group bacterium. RNAcentral's name for it is "tRNA-Ala". It matches the Rfam family "tRNA". From Rfam's summary of the family: Transfer RNA (tRNA) molecules are approximately 80 nucleotides in length. Their secondary structure includes four short double-helical elements and three loops (D, anti-codon, and T loops). Further hydrogen bonds mediate the characteristic L-shaped molecular structure. tRNAs have two regions of fundamental functional importance: the anti-codon, which is responsible for specific mRNA codon recognition, and the 3' end, to which the tRNAs corresponding amino acid is attached (by aminoacyl-tRNA synthetases). tRNAs cope with the degeneracy of the genetic code in two manners: having more than one tRNA (with a specific anti-codon) for a particular amino acid; and 'wobble' base-pairing, i.e. permitting non-standard base-pairing at the 3rd anti-codon position. The record is from RNAcentral.